CAGCAGCCGCGGUAAUACGUGUGGGGCAAGCGUUGUUCGGAAUUACUGGGCUUAAAGGGUGUGUAGGCGGUUUGCUAAGUCAGUGGUGAAGGUCGGUCGCCCAACGAUCGAAUUGCCAUUGAUACUGGUAAACUUGAGUGUGCUAGGGGUAAGCGGAACGUGUGGUGUAGCGGUGAAAUGCGUAGAUAUCACACGGAAGGCCGGAGCCGAAGGGGGCUUACUGGGACACAACUGACGCUGAGACACGGAAGCGUGGGGAGCAAACAGGAUUAGAUACCCUGGUAGUCCACGCCGUAACCGAUGAGCACUAGGCCGCCGCCCGGUUAGGGGUAGCGGCUGUAGAGAAAUUGAUAAGUGCUCCGCCUGGGGAGUAUGAUCGCAAGGUUGAAACUCAAGGAAUUGACGGGGGCCCGCACAAGCGGUGGAGCAUGUGGUUUAAUUCGAUGAUACGCGAGGAACCUUACCUGGGCUUAAAUGCAGAACGACCGAUCCGGAAACGGAUCUUUCUUCGGACGGACUGCAAGGUGCUGCAUGGUUGUCGUCAGCUCGUGCCGUGAGGUGUCGGGUUAAGUCCCAUAACGAGCGCAACCCCUAUCGUUAGUUGCUAGCAGGUAAUGCUGAGGACUCUAACGAAACUGCCCGUGCAAGCGGUGAGGAAGGUGGGGAUGACGUCAAAUCAUCACGGCCCUUACGUCCAGGGCUACACACGUGCUACAAUGGCGCAUACAAAGGGCAGCUACCUGGUGACAGGAUGCUAAUCUCUAAAGUGCGUCUCAGUUCGGAUUGGAGUCUGCAACUCGACUCCAUGAAGCUGGAAUCGCUAGUAAUCGCGCAUCAGCCAUGGCGCGGUGAAUACGUUCCCGGGCCUUGUACACACCGCCCGUCAAGCCAUGGAAGCUGGGGGUGCCUGAAGUCGGUGACCGUAAGGAGCUGCCUAGGGCAAAACUAGUAACUGGGGCUAAGUCGUAACAAGGUAGCCGUA
RNAcentral lists this ribosomal RNA (982 nucleotides) under uncultured bacterium. RNAcentral describes it as "bacterial SSU rRNA". It matches the Rfam family "Bacterial small subunit ribosomal RNA", at positions 509 to 1504 of the family's 1533-position model. The record is from RNAcentral.